RNAcentral lists this ribosomal RNA (359 nucleotides) under uncultured bacterium. RNAcentral describes it as "bacterial SSU rRNA". It matches the Rfam family "Bacterial small subunit ribosomal RNA", at positions 29 to 414 of the family's 1533-position model. The record is from RNAcentral.
AGCGAACGCUGGCGGCAGGCCUAACACAUGCAAGUCGAACGCGUGUAGCAAUACACGAGUGGCAGACGGGUGAGUAACACGUGGGAACGUGCCCUUCGGUUCGGAAUAACUCAGGGAAACUUGAGCUAAUACCGGAUACGCCCUUACGGGGAAAGAUUUAUCGCCGAUGGAUCGGCCCGCGUCUGAUUAGCUAGUUGGUGAGGUAACGGCUCACCAAGGCGACGAUCAGUAGCGGUCUGAGAGGAUGAUCAGCCACACUGGGACUGAGACACGGCCCAGACUCCUACGGGAGGCAGCAGUGGGGAAUAUUGGACAAUGGGGGAAACCCUGAUCCAGCCAUGCCGCGUGAGUGAUGAAGG